CACGCGGCUCAACCGCAGCAGCUCUUGACCCUGUCUGCCUCACUGCCAGGGCUGAGAACUGAACAAGAUGGAAGGUUCCAGCAAAGAGGAGGGAGAGGAGGAGGAGGAGAGCACAUUUACCACCAUUUCCCUAGCAGAUGACACAGACCAUUCAUCGGGGGUUUCUGGUCCCAGGCGCUGUUCGGCGGCCAGGAUGAUGAACGCGGACAUGGACGCAGUUGAUGCUGAAAAUCAGGUGGAACUGGAGGAAAAAACACGACUUAUUAAUCAAGUGUUGGAACUCCAACACACCCUUGAAGAUCUCUCAGCAAGAGUAGAUGCAGUUAAGGAAGAAAAUCUGAAGCUAAAAUCAGAGAACCAAGUUCUUGGACAAUAUAUAGAAAACCUCAUGUCUGCUUCUAGUGUUUUCCAAACAACUGACACGAAAAGCAAAAGAAAGUAAGGGAUUGAGUUCCCUUCUCGUUUAUGGAAUUGCUGCUUCUCUCUCUCUCUCUCUCUCCCUCCCUCCCUUUCCCUCUCUUCUUCCCUUCCCGCUCCCUCCUCCUCUUCUCCCUUUAAAACUUGGGUAGAUUCCAAAAGUUACAGUACCUUUGUUUGUGGCUUCCUUGAAUAUUUAUGAAGAUAAUGUCAAAUCUAGGCAAAAUUAACUACUUAACCGGAGACUUCAUGAGUCUGUGUAUUAUGUUAGUCUAAGAAAAUGUGCAGAUGUAUUGUAGAGACUUUAUAAUUAGAAUUGCAUAUAUUUAUGAAACUUGAAAAUGAAUGUUUUAUUGAAUUUGCUUUGAUAUAUAGGCUUAGCAAUGUCUUUUUAUUACACGCUUACUUAGUAAGAUAUACAAGCAAAUAACCAUGUUGUGAAAAUGUGACCAAAAUCAUGUACUGAAUGCACAGCUUUAUGUCUGUACCCACCCGCCAUUGUGUGCCUCUCCUCCAUCUUCACCCCCGCUACUCCCCUCCUCCUAAGAUGGGUUCCACAUUUGUAAAAGUACUUGGGAAUAGUAAUCACCCUGACAGUCACCUGCUCCGUAACUCCUGAAGUUAACCAAACCCUUGCCUAAAGAUUCUCAAUUGUGCUUUCUAGUAACAGAACAGGACUGCCGGUUUCUCUUUAACCAGUUAAAAACAGAUGGGGGCUACUAAGGGGAUUUUAAUUUGAAACUAAAUUCUCAAGUUGAGAUUUGUUUAAAAAAUUGUUUUUGCACUAAAUAAGCCACUUGGUAUCUGAAAAGAUAGGAAUUUUGGUUAUGUAUCUAUUAGAAGUAGAAAAUCUUGGAGGAAUAGAAAUGGUAGAAAAUAACAUGAUAAAAGUAGCAACCCACUCCAGAUAUUUUCACUCCAGACUCGUAUUAUCGCUGGCACAGAGCAGACCUUCUGGGGAAUGAAUGAAUGAAAAAAAUAUAUAUAUAUAUAAAUAUAUAUGAAAAUGGAUGACGUUUGACUGAUCUUACAGAAGCCACAUGCUAUAUACCAGCUCUAGGGUUUGGUUGCAAGGUUUAUUCGUUGUACCCAGUCAAUUGUUACCAAAUUCCUUGAAGAGUGUAUUAGUAUUAGAAUCAUGAACGAGAGAGUUUUAUAUGUAUAAUUGGUAAACUCAGUAUUUUUAUCUCACCCUUUCUGUAAAGUCCACUAAUUGGUUUGUAGACUUUUAGUCAUUCUUUUAACAAUUUUUAAAAAUUCAGUUCAUAGAUUCCAUUUGGUAAAGGAAUCAAUAUCAGAGGUAAUAUUGAUAUUAUACUAGGAAAGGAAAUCCACUAAUAGAGCUUGUGGUUAUUAGAUUUGAGCUACUUUAAUCAUGGGAUAAUCUUCUGUGUUAGUGUAAGAUUUGAUGAAUGACUUUAACUAUAUGAAGAUGUACUAGUCAUACUGCAAACAUUUUGCAUCCCUUUUGUGACUUAAUUUUACAAAUAUUUAAAAUUGUGUCGCAUUUCUGCUUUGCUGUUUAAUAAAAAGUUGUUUCAGAGAUUGUGUGCGUGUGUGCGUUAUGUAGUUGCCUAAGUAAAUGGGGCGUGCAAGGGCACGGGCGUAUCAGGGUGGUUCAGUGUUACAGAAGGGCCAUACCU
Molecule: RNA transcript, 2060 nt
Organism: Perognathus longimembris pacificus (Pacific pocket mouse)
Lineage: Eukaryota; Metazoa; Chordata; Mammalia; Rodentia; Heteromyidae
Gene: Scoc
Gene name: short coiled-coil protein
Exons: 5
Source: RefSeq, a predicted model, not a curated record